This 253-nucleotide ribosomal RNA is filed under the name uncultured bacterium. RNAcentral describes it as "partial 16S ribosomal RNA". It matches the Rfam family "Bacterial small subunit ribosomal RNA", at positions 524 to 776 of the family's 1533-position model. The record is from RNAcentral.
GACAGAGGGUGCAAACGUUGUUCGGAAUUACUGGGCGUAAAGCGCGUGUAGGCUGCUCGGAAAGUCGGAUGUGAAAGCCCUGGGCUCAACCCAGGAAGUGCAUUCGAAACUUCCGAGCUGGAGUUCUGGAGGGGAAGGCGGAAUUCUCGGUGUAGAGGUGAAAUUCGUAGAUAUCGAGAGGAACACCGGUGGCGAAGGCGGCCUUCUGGACAGUGACUGACGCUGAGACGCGAAAGCGUGGGGAGCAAACAGG